UACAGGGGGUGCAACCGUUGCUCGGAAUCAUUGGGCGUAAAGCGCACGUAGGCGGUCUGUUAUGUCGGAUGUGAAAGCCCUUGGCUUAACUGAGGAAGUGCAUCCGAAACUGGCAGGCUAGAGUACUAAAGAGGGUCGCGGAAUUCCCGGUGUAGAGGUGAAAUUCGUAGAUAUCAAGAGGAACACCUGAGGUGAAGACGGGUUGCUGGGCUGACACUGACGCUGAGGCGCGAAAGCCAGGGGAGCAAACGGG
This 253-nucleotide ribosomal RNA is filed under the name uncultured bacterium. Its description in RNAcentral is "partial 16S ribosomal RNA". It matches the Rfam family "Bacterial small subunit ribosomal RNA", at positions 524 to 776 of the family's 1533-position model. The record is from RNAcentral.